RNAcentral lists this unclassified non-coding RNA (364 nucleotides) under Hevea brasiliensis (rubber tree). Lineage: Eukaryota; Viridiplantae; Streptophyta; Magnoliopsida; Malpighiales; Euphorbiaceae. The record is from RNAcentral.
AGGCCCUUUCCCCACAAGAUGAAGUAUAAAGCUGUUAUGGCACCAUUUAUGAUAGAUGGCACUACCUGUUGAUUAGAGAGUGGUCUCCCUUUCCAAGGCUUUUGCAAAGCCAAAAACAGGNNNNNNNNNNNNUGAAGAUAAAAAGUACCACUGAAGCUCCAGUCUGAGACAAGUAGCGAUACAUGGAAUAAACUGACCAUAUUCUCAAGAAGAUUCCAAUAAUAUGGAUUAUCAGCAAAGGAGUGUGUCCGAAAUGAGAAGAACCUCGACCUUCACUGGUUUGCUUCGGAGAGAUCAUUUUGUUUGUCCGUUCUACAUAGGGAAAUUUAAUCGAAGAGCGUUGAUCUCUGCGGCAGAGUAACUC